AUGCAUAGGAAUCUGCCCGAUAGUGGGGGAUAACCUGGGGAAACCCAGGCUAAUACCGCAUACGUCCUACGGGAGAAAGGGGGCUCCGGCUCCCGCUAUGGGAUGAGCCUAUGUCGGAUUAGCUAGUUGGUGAGGUAACGGCUCACCAAGGCUACGAUCCGUAGCUGGUCUGAGAGGAUGAUCAGCCACAUCGGGACUGAGACACGGCCCGAACUCCUACGGGAGGCAGCAGUGGGGAAUAUUGGACAAUGGGGGAAACCCUGAUCCAGCCAUGCCGCGUGUGUGAAGAAGGCCCUCGGGUUGUAAAGCACUUUCAGCGAGGAAGAACGCCUAGCGGUUAAUACCCGCUAGGAAAGACAUCACUCGCAGAAGAAGCACCGGCUAACUCCGUGCCAGCAGCCGCGGUAAUACGGAGGGUGCAAGCGUUAAUCGGAAUUACUGGGCGUAAAGCGCGCGUAUGUGGCUUGAUAAGCCGGUUGUGAAAGCCCCGGGCUCAACCUGGGAACGGCAUCCGGAACUGUCGAGCUAGAGUGCAGGAGAGGAAGGUAGAAUUCCCGGUGUAGCGGUGAAAUGCGUAGA
This 579-nucleotide ribosomal RNA is filed under the name Vreelandella aquamarina. Its description in RNAcentral is "bacterial SSU rRNA". It matches the Rfam family "Bacterial small subunit ribosomal RNA", at positions 113 to 694 of the family's 1533-position model. The record is from RNAcentral. Lineage: Bacteria; Pseudomonadati; Pseudomonadota; Gammaproteobacteria; Oceanospirillales; Halomonadaceae.